Long non-coding RNA from Sinocyclocheilus rhinocerous, 356 nucleotides. RefSeq lists it as uncharacterized. The record is from RefSeq and is a predicted model, not a curated record. The transcript is spliced from 3 exons. NCBI's taxonomy places the organism in Eukaryota, Metazoa, Chordata, Actinopteri, Cypriniformes, Cyprinidae.
CGCUGUUUGUUUAUCGUGCUCGUGAGAAACGGGAACGAGUUCCGGUGAAUAUCAAAUUUCUGCGUGUUCUGCUCAUCGAUGAAUUUCGUUGAUAAUUUACACAAAUGGACGAGUAGGAUGGAUCUGGACUUCGGGAACAAACUGCCGCAGGCUCUGUCGACAAACACUAAACUGCCCCAGUCUCUCUCCUCUAGCGCGAAGUUUCUGCCCUCAGGCCCGUUUGAGCGCUGCGGCCGCCCGCUGGGAGUCAAAGUCAAAGAGGAAGACGAGAGUGUGGAGGAUUUCUUUCAUUUCGCUCAGCACCUGCAGCAGCAGACCGGAGAGUGUCUCACGGCUUGUUGCAGCGGAUCGAACCC